UUGGACCUGAUAUCAGACAAGACUACCCGCUGAACUUAAGCAUAUUAAUAAGCGGAGGAAAAGAAACUAACCAGGAUUCCCCUAGUAACGGCGAGUGAAGCGGGAUGAGCUCAAGCUUAAAAUCUCUAUGCAAGUUUUGCAUGGCGAAUUGUAGUCUAUAGAGGCGCUGUCAGUGCAGGCAUUUGGGGUAAGUUCCUUGGAAGAGGACAGCAUCGAGGGUGAUACUCCCGUUUGUACCUGAGUGCUUUGUGCGUACGACACGUUUUCUUUGAGUCGCGUUGUUUGGGACUGCAGCGCAAAGUAGGUGGUAAAUUCCAUCUAAAGCUAAAUAUUGGUGCGAGACCGAUAGCGAACAAGUACCGUGAGGGAAAGAUGAAAAGAACUUUGAAAAGAGAGUUAAAGAGUACCUGAAACUGCUGAAAGGGAAGCGAAUCGUAUCCAGUGUCUAUAAUCUGUGGCAUAUUUCAUUGGCGUAUGUGCGCGUGCUGUGUAUUGGAAGUGACGUUCGUUGCUCCUUGUGCGGUUCUGCGUGUGUCUGCUGGUGCCCUGUGUCAUAGUGGGACGUCAGAGUCAGUUCGUAUGCUGCGGGAAAUGGCUAUUGAGGAGGUAGGUUAGGAGUUCGCUCUUGGCUGUUAUAUCUUGAUAGCUAGUUGUCGUGGUUGGGACUGAGGUGCCUACAAUGUGCUUUGGGGUCAUACGGGUUCUUGCUUGGCGCACUACUUGGAUAGCUUGCUAUGCUGGCGGUGUUGUUAGGUGAUUGAGUCUGUGUGUAACCUGUGCCGUUCGGGACUUUGACGAAAUGGAGCGAUUCGGCCCGUCUUGAAACACGGACCAAGGAGUCUAACAUGUGUGCAAGUGUUAGGGUGUGGAAACCCCAGCGCGAAAUGAAAGUAAAGGGUAGCGUACGCUGCCUGAGGUAGGAAACCUUUGUUCUCAGAGGUGGCACUAUCGACCGAUCAUGAACCUUCGUGGUGAAAGAUUUGAGUAUGAGCACAUAUGUUGGUACCCGAAAGAUGGUGAACUAUGCCUGAGUAGGGUGAAGCCAGGGGAAACUCUGGUGGAAGCUCGUAGCGAUUCUGACGUGCAAAUCGAUCGUCAAACUUGGGUAUAGGGGCGAAAGACUAAUCGAACCAUCUAGUAGCUGGUUCCCUCCGAAAUUUCCCUCAGGAUAGCAGCAACUUAUUUACGAUAGUUUUAUGAGGUAAAGCGAAUGAUUAGAGGACUGGGGGAAGAAACUUCCUUCACCUAUUCUCAAACUUUAAAUCUGUAAGACCUGCAGGUUUCUUAAUUGAACUUGUGGAUGUGAAUAUCAAGUUGCUAGUGGGCCAUACCGGGUAAGCUGGUCUGGCGAUGCGGGAUGAUCCGAACGCAAAGUUAAAGUGCCAAAAUACUCGCUCACCUAGAUACCAUAAAAGGUGUUGGUUCAUUUAGACAGCAGGACGGUGGCCAUGGAAGUCGGAAUCCGCUAAGGAGUGUGUAACAAC
RNAcentral lists this ribosomal RNA (1484 nucleotides) under Globisporangium echinulatum. RNAcentral's name for it is "eukaryotic LSU rRNA". It matches the Rfam family "Eukaryotic large subunit ribosomal RNA", at positions 1 to 1289 of the family's 3401-position model. The record is from RNAcentral. Lineage: Eukaryota; Oomycota; Peronosporomycetes; Pythiales; Pythiaceae.